UUUAUGGAGAGUUUGAUCCUGGCUCAGGAUGAACGCUGGCGGCGUGCCUAAUACAUGCAAGUCGAGCGAACAGAUAAGGAGCUUGCUCCUUUGAAGUUAGCGGCGGACGGGUGAGUAACACGUGGGUAACCUACCUAUAAGACUGGGAUAACUUCGGGAAACCGGAGCUAAUACCGGAUAACAUUUAGAACCGCAUGGUUCUAAAGUGAAAGAUGGUUUUGCUAUCACUUAUAGAUGGACCCGCGCCGUAUUAGCUAGUUGGUAAGGUAACGGCUUACCAAGGCGACGAUACGUAGCCGACCUGAGAGGGUGAUCGGCCACACUGGAACUGAGACACGGUCCAGACUCCUACGGGAGGCAGCAGUAGGGAAUCUUCCGCAAUGGGCGAAAGCCUGACGGAGCAACGCCGCGUGAGUGAUGAAGGGUUUCGGCUCGUAAAACUCUGUUAUUAGGGAAGAACAAAUGUGUAAGUAACUGUGCACAUCUUGACGGUACCUAAUCAGAAAGCCACGGCUAACUACGUGCCAGCAGCCGCGGUAAUACGUAGGUGGCAAGCGUUAUCCGGAAUUAUUGGGCGUAAAGCGCGCGUAGGCGGUUUCUUAAGUCUGAUGUGAAAGCCCACGGCUCAACCGUGGAGGGUCAUUGGAAACUGGGAAACUUGAGUGCAGAAGAGGAAAGUGGAAUUCCAUGUGUAGCGGUGAAAUGCGCAGAGAUAUGGAGGAACACCAGUGGCGAAGGCGACUUUCUGGUCUGUAACUGACGCUGAUGUGCGAAAGCGUGGGGAUCAAACAGGAUUAGAUACCCUGGUAGUCCACGCCGUAAACGAUGAGUGCUAAGUGUUAGGGGGUUUCCGCCCCUUAGUGCAGCAGCUAACGCAUUAAGCACUCCGCCUGGGGAGUACGACCGCAAGGUUGAAACUCAAAG
This 924-nucleotide ribosomal RNA is filed under the name Streptococcus pneumoniae. RNAcentral's name for it is "bacterial SSU rRNA". It matches the Rfam family "Bacterial small subunit ribosomal RNA", at positions 1 to 906 of the family's 1533-position model. Lineage: Bacteria; Bacillati; Bacillota; Bacilli; Lactobacillales; Streptococcaceae. The record is from RNAcentral.